RNAcentral lists this long non-coding RNA (489 nucleotides) under Mytilus galloprovincialis (Mediterranean mussel). Lineage: Eukaryota; Metazoa; Mollusca; Bivalvia; Mytilida; Mytilidae. The record is from RNAcentral.
UAUGAAUCCAACUUCAAACUUAAAUUAUCGUACAGAUUAUGUUGACCAAAAUUAAAUCUAAUAAAUGACGGCGGUGAUUAAUUUUUGUUUCCAUAACACAUAAAUAUAACAGAAAAGACGUCAACACAUUUGACAAAAUCCAAUGAGAAUUACAAAUAUAACAUUAAACAUUUAAACUAAAUACAUGAGUUUGGGAUAGACAAGUACCGUCACACGUCUUAUAGUAAUGCGAAUUCACACUCAGCAAAACAGUCACAAUCGGGAAUAAGUCCCGUUUGGUAAUCAAAAGAUUAGACGACAUAAUGACAAACUACAAUCUACCAUGUGGUAAAAAUGUCCUUAGCUAGUUUGGUUAAACACACAUCGUAUGGAUCCACCAAUUCGUGAUGGUGUCCAUAAAAUUUACGGAGCGUCAAUUUUAAUCUGUCCUCCUCAUAACUUUGUUGGAGAAGUUUCUGCGUAAGUAGCACACUCCUGUAUAUGAAGUCC